UACGUAGGGUGCGAGCGUUGUCCGGAAUUAUUGGGCGUAAAGAGCUCGUAGGCGGUGUGUCACGUCGGCCGUGAAAACCUGCAGCUUAACUGUGGGCGUGCGGUCGAUACGGGCAUCACUGGAGUUCGGCGAGGGGAGGACUGAAUUCCUGGUGUAGCGGUGAAAUGCGCAGAUAUCAGGAGGAACACCGGUGGCGAAGGCGGGUCUCUGGGCCGAUACUGACGCU
This 226-nucleotide ribosomal RNA is filed under the name uncultured bacterium. RNAcentral's name for it is "partial 16S ribosomal RNA". It matches the Rfam family "Bacterial small subunit ribosomal RNA", at positions 524 to 747 of the family's 1533-position model. The record is from RNAcentral.